UGUCCAGACUCCUACGGGAGGCAGCAGUGGGGAAUAUUGCACAAUGGGGGAAACCCUGAUGCAGCAACGCCGCGUGAAGGAAGACGGUUUUCGGAUUGUAAACUUCUGUUCUUAGUGAAGAAGAAUGACGGUAGCUAAGGAGCAAGCCCCGGCUAACUACGUGCCAGCAGCCGCGGUAAUACGUAGGGGGCAAGCGUUAUCCGGAUUUACUGGGUGUAAAGGGAGCGUAGACGGCCAGACAAGUCUGAAGUGAAAAUCCAGCGCUUAACGUUGGAAGUGCUUUGGAAACUGCCGGGCUAGAGUGCAGGAGGGGCAGGCGGAAUUCCUAGUGUAGCGGUGAAAUGCGUAGAUAUUAGGAGGGACACCAGUGGCGAAGGCGGCCUGCUGGACUGCAACUGACGUUGAGGCUCGAAGGCGUGGGGAGCAAACGGGAUUAGAUACCCCAGUAA
RNAcentral lists this ribosomal RNA (449 nucleotides) under uncultured bacterium. RNAcentral's name for it is "bacterial SSU rRNA". It matches the Rfam family "Bacterial small subunit ribosomal RNA", at positions 328 to 793 of the family's 1533-position model. The record is from RNAcentral.